GGAAAAGUUGCUAUAGGUAGGGCGAGAUAUUUGCUAAAUAUUGUGUAUUAACACAUGGGUGUUCGAUUCACCUCUUUUCCG
This 81-nucleotide transfer RNA is filed under the name Juglanconis juglandina. RNAcentral describes it as "tRNA-Ser". The record is from RNAcentral. RNAcentral also lists the same sequence under 2 other names. Lineage: Eukaryota; Fungi; Ascomycota; Sordariomycetes; Diaporthales; Juglanconidaceae.